AGUUCCAUUGAAAUCCUAUUAUGGACUGACCUAAGCCAAUGCGGUACUUCAGGAAAUGCCUGUUUGACAUACAUAUAAGGAGCUUCCAGCAUUCCGAGGUAAAGAAAAGGACUCAGAUAAUACCAAGGAACUCUGGAGAAUGUAUUCCUAAUGAAGGUAUUUCCAUUGUCAACCAAGCAUGCCAGGAAAAUGCAAGUUAAUCAGCACAAACACACUUAUGGAAGGCACACUGUGUCCUUCCGUCUGAUUGUGUCUACAGAAGCAGAAGAGUCAAAUUAUGCAGUCAACUUAAAGUCAUGAUUCAAAAUAAGAUUUUUAAGAAGAAUCACAGGAGUUCUCCAAGGCUUCAUCAUUGCAAGUCAUUUUGCUAAUAACAGGAAAACUACUACUGACAUAUUUUUCCACAUUAUAUUCGAUCCUACACACAACCUGAUAUUCCCAUUCUAGAGACUGGAACAGUUCAGCUCAGAAGAGUUAAGCAAGUGAGUUGGCCAAUAUCACAAAAUGAAACAGGAUACAGGGUCCAAAGCCCUGUCUUCCUGGCUCCAAAUCCUGACCUCUUUCCUGCUUAAUCUGUUACUGUAUCCAAGCCCCUGAACAAACUAAACUAGUGAACUAUGAACUCAAAAUGACAAAAUCACACAAACAUGCCACAUAGGCUACUUCAUACCUUUAGU
This is a long non-coding RNA of Artibeus jamaicensis (Jamaican fruit-eating bat), 677 nucleotides long. RefSeq lists it as uncharacterized. The transcript is spliced from 3 exons. The record is from RefSeq and is a predicted model, not a curated record. Lineage: Eukaryota; Metazoa; Chordata; Mammalia; Chiroptera; Phyllostomidae.